Molecule: Y RNA, 100 nt
Organism: Pongo abelii (Sumatran orangutan)
Lineage: Eukaryota; Metazoa; Chordata; Mammalia; Primates; Hominidae
Rfam family: Y RNA
About the family: Y RNAs are components of the Ro ribonucleoprotein particle (Ro RNP), in association with Ro60 and La proteins. The Y RNAs and Ro60 and La proteins are well conserved, but the function of the Ro RNP is not known.
Source: Ensembl
GGCUGGUCCGAAGGUAGUGAGUUAUAUCGAUUGUUCAGUUACAGGUCUAACUCCUUAUUCUCUUUCCUCCCUUCUCACUACUGCAUUUGACUAAUCUUUA